GAUGAACGCUGGCGGCGUGCCUAAUACAUGCAAGUCGAGCGAACAGACGAGGAGCUUGCUCCUCUGACGUUAGCGGCGGACGGGUGAGUAACACGUGGAUAACCUCCCUAUAAGACUGGGAUAACUUCGGGAAACCGGAGCUAAUACCGGAUAAUAUAUUUAACCGCAUGGUUCAAUAGUGAAAGACGGUUUUGCUGUCACUUAUCGAUGGAUCCGCGCCGCAUUAGCUAGUUGGUAAGGUAACGGCUUACCAAGGCAACGAUGCGUAGCCGACCUGAGAGGGUGAUGGGCCACACUGGAACUGAAACACGGUCCAGACUCCUACGGGAGGCAGCAGUAGGGAAUCUUCCGCAAUGGGCGAAAGCCUGACGGAGCAACGCCGCGUGAGUGAUGAAGGUCUUCGGAUCGUAAAACUCUGUUAUUAGGGAAGAACAAAUGUGUAAGUAACUAUGCACGUCUUGACGGUACCUAAUCAGAAAGCCACGGCUAACUACGUG
This 497-nucleotide ribosomal RNA is filed under the name uncultured bacterium. RNAcentral describes it as "partial 16S ribosomal RNA". It matches the Rfam family "Bacterial small subunit ribosomal RNA", at positions 28 to 507 of the family's 1533-position model. The record is from RNAcentral.